Parus major (Great Tit) is the source of this 482-nucleotide long non-coding RNA. RefSeq lists it as uncharacterized. Lineage: Eukaryota; Metazoa; Chordata; Aves; Passeriformes; Paridae. The transcript is spliced from 3 exons. The record is from RefSeq and is a predicted model, not a curated record.
AACAGAAUCACAGAAUGCAUUGAGUUGGAAGAGACCCACAAGGAUCAUUGGGUCCAACUCCUGGUCCUGCACAGGACCUUCCCCAAGAGUCAAACCAUACGCCCAAAAUGCUGAAAUGGGGAAAAGCCAGAAGUCAGGAACUUAUUUCCAGUUUAUAGCCAUAUAAAGAGAAAAUAUACUCUGAAAAUGUCCUUGUCAUUAGAGGCCAAAGCUGCAACAUAAGAGCUACAACAACUUGAAGUUAAUGCCACUGUGAAGCGACAUUAGCCUUAAGGCUCUGAAUACUGUGAACAUUUGGUGUUUCUCCAUCCUUCGGUGGAGGAGUUGGAAGUCUCUAAGAUAUCUUCAGUUAGAUGUCUGCGGGGCCUGGGGUGAACCACAGAAGAGUACCUCUUCCAAAAAUCAGAUGAAUUUUAGAGCUGUUCCUAAGAGGCAUUUUCCAUCUACAUCAUUGUCCUGCUUCAUUUUGUGCCACUUUCAAU